RNAcentral lists this ribosomal RNA (305 nucleotides) under uncultured bacterium. RNAcentral's name for it is "bacterial SSU rRNA". It matches the Rfam family "Bacterial small subunit ribosomal RNA", at positions 335 to 638 of the family's 1533-position model. The record is from RNAcentral.
AGCCUACGGGGCGCAGCAGUGAGGAAUAUUGGUCAAUGGCCGAGAGGCUGAACCAGCCAAGUCGCGUGAGGGAAGACGGCCCUACGGGUUGUAAACCUCUUUUGUCGGGGAGCAAAGCGAACCACGUGUGGUUCAUUGAGAGUACCCGAAGAAAAAGCAUCGGCUAACUCCGUGCCAGCAGCCGCGGUAAUACGUAGGGGGCAAGCGUUAUCCGGAUUUACUGGGUGUAAAGGGAGCGUAGACGGUGCAGCAAGUCUGAUGUGAAAGGUCGGGGCCCAACCCCGGGACUGCAUUGGAAACUGUUG